AACGUAGGAGCCAAGCGUUAUCCGAAUUCACUGGGCGUAAAGCGCGUGCAGGCGGUCAGGUAAGUUGGAUGUGAAAUCGCCCGGCUCAACUGGGCGAGGUCGUUCAAAACUGCCUGACUGGAGGACGGUAGAGGGAGGUGGAAUUCCCGGUGUAGUGGUGAAAUGCGUAGAGAUCGGGAGGAACACCAGUGGCGAAGGCGGCCUCCUGGACCGGACCUGACGCUCAGACGCGAAAGCUAGGGGAGCGAACGGG
RNAcentral lists this ribosomal RNA (253 nucleotides) under uncultured bacterium. Its description in RNAcentral is "partial 16S ribosomal RNA". It matches the Rfam family "Bacterial small subunit ribosomal RNA", at positions 524 to 776 of the family's 1533-position model. The record is from RNAcentral.